This 433-nucleotide ribosomal RNA is filed under the name uncultured bacterium. RNAcentral describes it as "partial 16S ribosomal RNA". It matches the Rfam family "Bacterial small subunit ribosomal RNA", at positions 29 to 507 of the family's 1533-position model. The record is from RNAcentral.
AACGAACGCUGGCGGCAUGCCUAACACAUGCAAGUCGAACGAGACCUCCGGGUCUUGUGGCGCACGGCUGCGUAACGCGUGGGAACCUGCAUUUAGGUUCGGAAUAACUCAGAGAAAUUUGAGCUAAUACCGGAUGAUGUCUUCGAACCAAAGAUUUAUUGCAUUUGGAUGGACCCGCGUUGCAUUCGCUAGUUGGGGGGGUAAAGGAAUACCAAGGCGACGAUCCAUAGCUGGUCUGAGAGGAUGAUCAGCCACACUGGGACGGAGACACGGCCCAGACUCUUACGGGAGGCAGCAGUGGGGAAUAUUGCACAAUGGGCGAAAGCCUGAUCCAGCAAUGCCGCGUAAGUGAUGAAGUCCUUAGAGUUGUAAAGUUCUUUUACCCGAGAUGAUAUUGACAGUAUCGGGUCAAUAAGCUCCGGCUAACUCCGUG